Molecule: ribosomal RNA, 481 nt
Filed under: uncultured bacterium
Lineage: Bacteria
Description: partial 16S ribosomal RNA
Rfam family: Bacterial small subunit ribosomal RNA
Source: RNAcentral
GACGAACGCUGGCGGCGUGCUUAACACAUGCAAGUCGAACGCUGAAGCUCAGCUUGCUGGGUGGAUGAGUGGCGAACGGGUGAGUAACACGUGAGUAACCUGCGCCCUUCAUUGGGAUAACGCCCGAGAACGGGUGCUAAUACUGGAGAUUCACUGAUCUUCGCCUGGGGGGUGGUGGAAAGGUUUCUGCUGGUGGGGGAUGGGCUGGCGGACUAUCGGCUGGUUGGUGGGGUGAUGGCUUACCAAGGCUUUGACGGGUAGCCGGCCUGAGAGGGUGACCGGGCACAUGGCGACUGACAUAGGGCCUAGGAUCCGGCGCGAGGCAGUAGUGGGGAAAACUGUACGAUGGGCUAAAGCAUGAUGCAGCGACGCCGCGUGAGGGAUGGCGGCCUUCGGGUUGUAAACCUCUUUCGAUCAUGCUCAAGCCGCAACAGUGGUUGUGGUGAGGGUAGUGGGUAAAGAAGCGCCGGCUAACUACGUG